This 322-nucleotide ribosomal RNA is filed under the name Sandonidae sp. Its description in RNAcentral is "SSU rRNA". It matches the Rfam family "Eukaryotic small subunit ribosomal RNA", at positions 634 to 955 of the family's 1831-position model. The record is from RNAcentral. Lineage: Eukaryota; Cercozoa; Glissomonadida; Sandonidae.
GAUUUCUGGCUUGAAACAUUAAGCCGGCCACGGUUUCGUGUGUUAGUGCUUGAUGUUCUGGCCAUCCUUCCAAUUGCUAUUCACCCUUCUUCAUUGAUUGGUGAGUGGUAUUGGAUCUUUUACUUUGAAAAAAUUAGAGUGUUUCAAGCAGGCUUUAUGCUAUGAAUACAUUAGCAUGGAAUAAUAAUUUAGGACUUCGGUUCUAUUUUGUUGGUUUCUAGGACUGAAGUAAUGAUUGAUAGGGAUAGUUGGGGGUGCUAGUAUUCAGUGCGAAGAGGUGAAAUUCUUGGAUCCACUGAAGACUAACUUAUGCGAAAGCAUU